RNAcentral lists this ribosomal RNA (292 nucleotides) under uncultured bacterium. RNAcentral's name for it is "partial 16S ribosomal RNA". It matches the Rfam family "Bacterial small subunit ribosomal RNA", at positions 505 to 796 of the family's 1533-position model. The record is from RNAcentral.
GUGCCAGCAGCCGCGGUAAUACGUAGGGUGCGAGCGUUGUCCGGAAUUAUUGGGCGUAAAGAGCUCGUAGGCGGUUUGUUGCGUCGGCUGUGAAAACUCGGGGCUCAACUCCGAGCUUGCAGCCGAUACGGGCAGACUUGAGUUCGGCAGGGGAGACUGGAAUUCCUGGUGUAGCGGUGAAAUGCGCAGAUAUCAGGAGGAACACCGGUGGCGAAGGCGGGUCUCUGGGCCGAUACUGACGCUGAGGAGCGAAAGCGUGGGGAGCGAACAGGAUUAGAAACCCCCGUAGUCC